AUGACUUCAAAGAAAAUGUACUUUGUAGAUGUUCUAUAUUUCUCGGUUGCGAAGAAGCAGAAAAUGAAGAAACAUCUGAAUGAGAAGAAAAAGAAGUGCAAGGCUGGUAAGGUCGAGACUCAUCUUGAAUUCCCUGGACGUGAAAAGGUUAAAUUUGGUGAAAUUGUCGAAGCUCCACCAAAGUUAUCAUUCCCAAAGAUCACUUUUCAGCCAUUUAGAAAUUAG
This 225-nucleotide ribosomal RNA is filed under the name Triticum aestivum (bread wheat). RNAcentral describes it as "partial small subunit ribosomal RNA". The record is from RNAcentral. Lineage: Eukaryota; Viridiplantae; Streptophyta; Magnoliopsida; Poales; Poaceae.